GACGAACGCUGGCGGCGUGCCUAACACAUGCAAGUCGAGCGAGAAUCUAUCAAUUGAUUCCUUCGGGAUGAUUUUGAUAGAGGAAAGCGGCGGACGGGUGAGUAACGCGUGAGUAACCUGCCCUUCAGAGGGGGACAACAGUUAGAAAUGACUGCUAAUACCGCAUAACAUGUUUUAUCGCAUGGUAGAAACAUCAAAGAUUUAUCGCUGAAGGAUGGACUCGCGUCUGAUUAGAUAGUUGGUGAGGUAACGGCUCACCAAGUCGACGAUCAGUAGCCGAACUGAGAGGUUGAUCGGCCACAUUGGGACUGAGACACGGCCCAGACCU
RNAcentral lists this ribosomal RNA (328 nucleotides) under uncultured bacterium. RNAcentral describes it as "bacterial SSU rRNA". It matches the Rfam family "Bacterial small subunit ribosomal RNA", at positions 28 to 338 of the family's 1533-position model. The record is from RNAcentral.